GGCAAAAGCGCUGUGGGAGCGAAGGGCCCGAGCGUCCUCAGCCAGCCCAAACCGCUAAGAACGCCGUUAACUAACGAGGAGCGACCAGCUGCAUGAGCCGCUUUGCCUAACGCUGCGUUCCUAGGGAGCUGAUGUCUUCACGGCAGAAGUCUUCUGCAUUUGAAAAACGAAUUCCCAACGUAAUGUCACUUCAGGAAUGAGCGUGCGGCAUCAGUGUUGUCACUCUCUUUUUAGAGGAAGAUGGAAACAUAUUUAUACAUCGGAUAACAGAUGUUCAGAACAUAGUUCAGUGGUUCACCUAGCUCCGCUUUUGCUAAUGCAGUUGGCAUUGUGCAUUAGCCCUCAUUCCACCAGCACCCUGCAGGGCUCCCGCCUGCUAAGGACAAGGACGCAGGCAUGAGGACCAGCACUACUGCUGCUGCUCUACACAGUGCCAAGCCACCACUGUCCCGUGCAUUUCCUGGAACAGAAAGCAAAGAUGGCAUAUGAUACAGCUUUGCUUUCCUAGCUGUGUUUGAUUUUUAUCUAACUAGCUCAUGUAGCUGACAUUUUUCCUUAGGAACAUCUCCAGAAGAAAAACUUUGGUUUCUCCAGACUGCACACCAUAUUGUCCCAUGCUCUUUCAAGGCAAAGCAGAGUUCACACAUUUCUCAGCAUACACCAAGCUUGAUUUUUUUUCCCCCCUACUACUGUUCUUUCUGAGGCUGUGCAGAGGCUUUGGGCUAACCCACAAUGAACUGAACUUGAGCCAGCAGAAAUAAGUUUUGCUGACAAGGAGGUGCAGUGGGUGCCUGGGGCAGUGGGGGGCUGGAGCUGCAGUAUGCUGUGUGGCUCAUGUAGAACAUUUGUAAAUGCCAGAGGCAGGAAGAGUGGAGGGAAGCGAAAAGGAAAUGGGAAGUGGCUACUCGAUAUGCCAAAGAUGUUGAACAGCAAUGAAAUGAUUUAUAAAUCUUCUGCAUGUAUGUGAUGCAUACGGAUGGUGUUGGGGAGGUACUCCCAACCUUGGGAAAACAGUGUUCUGAUGCUUUCCAGACUCAUCUAAGUGUACUUGUGCAAGUCACCUAAUUACCUUGCUUUAAUGCAGCUUUACUCUGAGGCUGAAGGAAAAUUGUUCUGCAGCUCUUUGGCUUUACACUUAUUUUCCAUAACUACCAAAUCUUUAUGAGCUUUGGCUACUUUUUCUCUCUUUUCCAUGAAUGAUCUGUGUGGACACAAAGCUGAACCUGUCAAGCAUUAACAGGAGUUUAGUUUAAAUCUAGUUUAGAGACC
Molecule: long non-coding RNA, 1269 nt
Filed under: Numida meleagris (helmeted guineafowl)
Lineage: Eukaryota; Metazoa; Chordata; Aves; Galliformes; Numididae
Description: lncRNA (ENSNMEG00000000621.1)
Source: RNAcentral